This 536-nucleotide ribosomal RNA is filed under the name Hippodonta capitata. RNAcentral's name for it is "eukaryotic LSU rRNA". It matches the Rfam family "Eukaryotic large subunit ribosomal RNA", at positions 43 to 651 of the family's 3401-position model. The record is from RNAcentral. Lineage: Eukaryota; Bacillariophyta; Bacillariophyceae; Naviculales; Naviculaceae.
UUAUUAAGCGGAGGAAAAGAAACUAACCAGGAUUCCCUCAGUAAGGGCGACUGAAGGGGGAAGAGCUCAGAAUGUGAAUCUGCGCCUCGGCGCCGAAUUGUGAUCUGCCGACUUGAGCGUUAUUGGCCGGGCUAAGUCCCUUGGAACAGGGCAGCAGAGAGGGUGAGACUCCCGUCCGCCUGGCCUUUGGAGCUUGAUGUCUAAGAGUCGAGUUGUUUGGGAUUGCAGCUCAAAGUGGGUGGUAAAUUCCAUCUAAAGCUAAAUACUGGUGGGAGACCGAUAGCGUACAAGUACCGUGAGGGAAAGAUGCAAAGAACUUUGAAAAGAGAGUUAAAGAGUACCUGAAAUUGCUGAAAGGGAAGCGAAGGAAACCAGUGCCUGUCGAGUCAUAUUUCUCCCUCCGCUUGCGGGUGGGGCGCUGUGUCUUGGCUAGUGUCAGGCUUGGUUGGGCCGGCUGGAAUCGCGCAGUGAGAGUUGAUCACUGCAUGUCUGCAGCGGGCUUGACUGAGGUUGACGAAAUGGUUUUCUUUACCCCG